UGAGUAAAUUCUUAAACACGUCCGAAAUUAUCAUUAUGAUAAAUUCGCAGCACAUUUUGAAUUUAUCAUAAUAAUAAAUUCGCGGCACUAACCCCUAACCACUAAUCCCCUAACUCCUAACCAGUAAUCCCUAGCUCCUAACCCUAACUUUUUUAACCGUUUUAAAUUUUUUUAACUUUUGUAAAAAUCUAACUUUUUAAACUUUUUUGCUUU
This is a non-coding RNA of Paramuricea clavata, 213 nucleotides long. The record is from the annotation of a GenBank genome assembly. NCBI's taxonomy places the organism in Eukaryota, Metazoa, Cnidaria, Anthozoa, Malacalcyonacea, Plexauridae.